UCCAGGCUAUUCGCUUGGGACCGGACGUAGCACGCGAGAGAACGAGAAAAUGAGAAAGAAAGAGAAAGAUAAAGAGAAAGAGAAAGAGAGAAAGAGAGAGAAGGCGGGAGAGGGACGACUCGAGUCUCUUGGUGUGGACCUUUCCUCGAGCGAACUUUGUUAGAAGAGAAGAAGAAGGAGAAGGAAGAGAAGGAGGAGCAGGAGGGCUGUGGAUCGCGUCCAUAUAAGUAUUUCUAGACGAGUGAAAGGCAAUAAUCUUUAUAUUUCUCGCAAGAACGUAAUAGAUCCUUCUCUUGUUACACGAGCUGGAAGUUACGCUAAGGAAAGCGACUCGUCCGGUUCACGAAGCCAAAGCUUUCGACGAAUCGCAUAGCGUGUCGAUUCUCUGUUAAAGAAACAUUUAUUCUCAAUAACCCGUUCGGAAUUCAACGAUGAUAGUCUUUAGUUUUUCUAGAAAUCUACAAGGAAAAUAAGAUACGCCAUGUAUACAAAACACGGAUAGAUACGUGCACG
This is a long non-coding RNA of Vespa velutina, 513 nucleotides long. RefSeq lists it as uncharacterized. NCBI's taxonomy places the organism in Eukaryota, Metazoa, Arthropoda, Insecta, Hymenoptera, Vespidae. The transcript has 3 exons. The record is from RefSeq and is a predicted model, not a curated record.